CGAGAAAGCCCGCAAGGGUGAGUAAAGCGGCGCACGGGUGCGUAACACGUGGGUAAUCUGCCCUGAAGUCCGGAAUAACUCGCCGAAAGGCGUGCUAAUGCCGGAUGAGACCACGGGAGCCUCGGCUCCUGCGGGAAAAGGUGGCCUCUGUAUACAAGCUAUCGCUUCAGGAUGAGCCCGCGGCCCAUCAGCUAGUUGGCGGGGUAAUGGCCCACCAAGGCUACGACGGGUAGCUGGUCUGAGAGGACGAUCAGCCACACUGGAACUGAGACACGGUCCAGACUCCUACGGGAGGCAGCAGUGGGGAAUCUUGCGCAAUGGGCGAAAGCCUGACGCAGCAACGCCGCGUGUGUGAUGAAGGUCUUCGGAUCGUAAAGCACUGUCGCGAGGGACG
This 394-nucleotide ribosomal RNA is filed under the name uncultured Anaeromyxobacter sp. RNAcentral describes it as "bacterial SSU rRNA". It matches the Rfam family "Bacterial small subunit ribosomal RNA", at positions 67 to 447 of the family's 1533-position model. The record is from RNAcentral. Lineage: Bacteria; Pseudomonadati; Myxococcota; Myxococcia; Myxococcales; Anaeromyxobacteraceae.